Molecule: ribosomal RNA, 492 nt
Filed under: uncultured bacterium
Lineage: Bacteria
Description: partial 16S ribosomal RNA
Rfam family: Bacterial small subunit ribosomal RNA
Source: RNAcentral
AUUGAACGCUGGCGGUAUGCCUAACACAUGCAAGUCGAACGGCAGCACGGUAAUAGCUUUCUCUUACGGUUGGCGAGGGGCGGGUGAUUGAGGAAUACAUCGGAAGCUACUUUUUCUUGGUGGAUAACGGAGGGAAACUUACGCUAAUACCGCAUAGGACGUACGGGGGAAAUCAUGGGAUCUUCGGACCUUGCGCGAUUCAAUGAGCCGAUGUCGGAUUAGCUAGUUGGCGGGGUAAAGGCCCACCAAGGCGACGAUCCGUAGCUGGUCUGAGAGGAUGACCAGCCACACUGGAACUGAGACACGGUCCAGACUCCUACGGGAGGCAGCAGUGGGGAAUAUUGGACAAUGGGCGAAAGCCUGAUCCAGCCAUACCGCGUGGGUGAAGAAGGCCUUCGGGUUGUAAAGCCCUUUUGUUGGGAAAGAAAAGCAGCAGGUUAAUACCCCGCUGUUCUGACGGUACCCAAAGAAUAAGCACCGGCUAACUUCGUG